UCAUCAUCCGCUCAUCCGGGUCUCUAGGGGGCGCUAGAGAGACUUGCCCGCUAACAUCAGCGCUUGAACGGCGCGCGUCAGGACGUUCAGUAAAACGUGGACUGGAUAAGAAUCUGCGGAGUGAGAUUAAAAUAAAUUUCCCUUACUGACAAGCUAAACAGAGUCGUCUGCGCAGACGCAGAAGGAUCAGGAGACGGCUCUGACGGAGGAAGAGCGCAGACAACAGCAGGAACUACUGCAGUCUUUAGCGGAGUGUGUCCUUCACGUGUCCAGGCGCAGGCUCACGUCUGGAGGACACACUGACCUCCAUCUGUCUGCACACACAACACCUCACAGGAUCCCUCUCUGCUGCCACCAGAAACUCACAGAGUCAAUCUGCAGAACACACUCGUGUCAUCAUCAGUCGAUACAUCACAUCAUCACACCACAGUCAGCAAGAACCGAGCCUUUCCCAAGCUUUCAGUCGAGUGCUUCACUGAAGUGCCUGAAACAGCACACGCUAGUGACACCUGCUGGUCAAACUCUGUAAAUGCAACAAAACUUCUGCAAAAACAGGCAUAAAAACACCUUUUACAACCCCAAGGCAAAUACAUUCUUCAAAGUAUAAUAUAUUAAAUGGACUUUAAAUAUUAAAAUACCAUUGCAUAUGAAGUGUCUGUAUAUAUGUGAUUUAAAUUUUUUUUAUUAAUUUGCAGGGCUUGUUUAGUUUGUUUUAUGGAGAGCUUGUCUGAACAGUCAGUAAGAGACUAUUAACUACUACUCAUCCUGUUAAUUACACAACAUUAGAAAUAUCUUCAAACUGAUUUCCCAAAGUUUUGAAGCUUCACAUCAGGCUGAUCUUAAAGCUGAUUGGCUGUAAUGUUCCAUCAGCUGACAGGAAGACGUUUUCUCCGUCCAGUGAAGAGAAAUGGAGUCCAGUGCCAAAGAUCUGUCGAGUUUCAAAGAUGAACUGCACUUUUAUAUUAUUGUCUUUAAACAUUUUGCCAGUUAUUUAAUCAAGUUUUAUAUGUUUUUCUUGACAUCUCUGUACAUCUUACGGCUUCAGCAGCGCUUUUCUUGCUGGUUUUGUCUUUGCACACUUGAAUAAAUUGUGAAAAUUGUUGUAAUUUGUCAUUUAAAACUAGAUUUCAAUUGAUAAUACAAAAUCAUAUUUUCAGAAACAAUGUCAGAGGUCAAUUCUGGGUUCAUUUAUACAUGAAUCUGUCAGUUAUGAGGGAAAAAAAUAUGCAAUAUACUAUACAUGUAAUUUUUUUUCUCUGAAUUGCAAGAAAAAGUAAUAACUGAGGGGGGGAAAAAAGCUCAAACUGUGGGAUAAAAAAUGAGUUUUAG
Cyprinus carpio carpio is the source of this 1329-nucleotide long non-coding RNA. The record is from Ensembl. NCBI's taxonomy places the organism in Eukaryota, Metazoa, Chordata, Actinopteri, Cypriniformes, Cyprinidae.